GUAGAGACCGAUAGCAACCACGUGAUCAGUAAAAAUCGUGUAUUUUCACGUGAAAUUAUUUUUCGGAAUUCCGUACAUCGCCAUAGAGUAGUUGAAAAACAAAAAGGGGUUCCGAAAGUACAAGUUGUUGCUGUGACUGAAUCGAUGAUUGAGAGGGUCGUCUCGACGAAAGAUAUAGAAAUUUGGCCAUAGUUUAGAUUAGGAAUACGUCAAUGUAGUAAUAGUGGACUAAAUGUUUCGUCCGUGCAGAAUGGCACUUUUUACCUCACGAAAUUCACCACCAUGCAUAGCUACCCUACGUAAACAAAGUUGUUGAUGUAGCGUGAUCGUGAUGUCCGAGUGCUGCAUGCUGUGAGUUUCAAUACUGUUUAUGUAGUCAUUGAGAGUUUAAACAAAGUUUCUUCUGAGAAGAGGAAUUCGAUGGAUGCAUUCAACGUGGACAACGAAAUCAUAAUUUCGUUUGCAUCAUCCUAAGGACCAGUGCAAGUUGAAAUGGGCUUCCAGCCAACAACUUCAACAGCAAUUUGCCAUGAAAAUCAGCAAGAAAGGUACUUCAUUUACAUUGAUGAUGUCAUAUCCCCUGGACCCCACAACUUUACAGGUUACAGAGAAAAUUCAAGAACUUCUGCAAAAUGUGGGACUUGGAUAGAAUCAAUAAUGUAUUUGUGAGCCCAGAGCAAUGGAUAUAUUGUGCAACAUACUAAAGUGUGAAUUUAAUGGAAAACAAGUACAUGUACUCAUGUAUUACAUGUCUUUUUUAAAGACAAUAAUAUUGUAUAAAUAUAGAGGAAGUGUCAUUGUUGAUUAUUCUAAGUUUUUGAUAUAUCAAAAUCAGUAAACAUUUCUAAAUGAAAAUAAAAUACCAAUUUUAUAA
This is a long non-coding RNA of Ostrea edulis (European flat oyster), 874 nucleotides long. RefSeq lists it as uncharacterized. The record is from RefSeq and is a predicted model, not a curated record. The transcript is spliced from 3 exons. Lineage: Eukaryota; Metazoa; Mollusca; Bivalvia; Ostreida; Ostreidae.